Long non-coding RNA from Cicer arietinum (chickpea), 313 nucleotides. RefSeq lists it as uncharacterized. The record is from RefSeq and is a predicted model, not a curated record. NCBI's taxonomy places the organism in Eukaryota, Viridiplantae, Streptophyta, Magnoliopsida, Fabales, Fabaceae.
AGACUAUUAGAGACGACGACCGACAAAGAAAAGACUCGUUAGCAUAUCAGAUUCAUUGGACGGAAUUUUCAGUCAAGACGAGUUGUAAGUUGCAGGUGAUGACUAGUACCAUCGGAGAUGCGGAAGCCAUCAUAUCUUGGAGACCCUUAUUAUAUGCAUUGUGUUGAUGUUAUUUUGAGCAUUUUUUUAUUUUGAGAAUUCCUGCUCUUAUAGUGACAUCGGGUUGAGACUACAUUUGCACUUAAUUUAACACAUAAAUAGGUGUACUUCAAAAAGGAUUUCGUUGUCUGAUAUUGUGAUUUCAAGUUGUUAA